This 253-nucleotide ribosomal RNA is filed under the name uncultured bacterium. RNAcentral's name for it is "partial 16S ribosomal RNA". It matches the Rfam family "Bacterial small subunit ribosomal RNA", at positions 524 to 776 of the family's 1533-position model. The record is from RNAcentral.
AACGUAGGAGACAAACGUUAUCCGGAGUUACUGGGCGUAAAGGGCGUGCAGGUGAUCUGUUAAGUCUGGCGUGAAAGCUCCUGGCUAAACCGGGAGAGGUCGUUGGAUACUGGCGGACUAGAGGACGGUAGAGGCGUGUGGAAUUCCGGGUGUAGUGGUGAAAUGCGUAGAGAUCCGGAGGAACACCAGUGGCGAAGGCGACACGCUGGGCCGUACCUGACACUGAUACGCGGCAGCAUGGGGAGCGAACGGG